This is a long non-coding RNA of Oryzias latipes (Japanese medaka), 1646 nucleotides long. RefSeq lists it as uncharacterized. Lineage: Eukaryota; Metazoa; Chordata; Actinopteri; Beloniformes; Adrianichthyidae. The record is from RefSeq and is a predicted model, not a curated record.
CAUUAAAGAGCGAUUCCACAAUGAAACCUAACAAGAUGUGCAGACCGUUUGACCAAAGCUCAGGGGGACAUUUUAAAGUUUGAAUCCUCAGAUAACAGUUUAUCAUGUAAAUCGUUUUGGUAGAUUUUUCUGAUUUAAAUCUGUCAGAUUGUUGCAGCGGCGGAUCACUGCGGCCUCCCGUCGUCCGGAUGGAGACGGCCUUUUAUUUCUGCGCCGCCGCUGUCAGAUCCGCUGUGUAUUUAAUAACGCUGAGCUGUUCGAUGCCCUCUGCUACGGGUUACUCUGCCUUGUGCUAUCCUCUGUGGCGGGACAAUUUCAGAGUGUCCAAAGCCGAUUCUGUGCGCUUGUUAAUUGAAUCGGAUUUCUUAUAGUUUAAAAUCCAAGCGCGCACACCCACAUGCGCACACACAGAUCCAUGUCGCUGCAGCCCAAACUGUAUAAGGGGUUUAUCUGGCUCAUGGAGCCAAAGCAGAGAUAUAAAGACACUCCAACAGAGACACGGACGCGUUCAAACCUUUCCAAACCUUAACUAAAGAUUCUGUAGCAGCUGCAGAAGAUGCGCUGUGUUCCGGCCUACCGCGCGGCUGUGCGCUCACGUUUGGAUACAUCUGCGCGUGCAUCGCAGCCUCCGCAGGAUUGGUAACAAAAGAACAAGCAGAACCUUCUCUGAUGGACGGAAAGUCUUUCCGGCAGAUAACGUCUAGUAAAGGACAUCCUGGAUGGGCCACAAGUCCAUCAAAGGGUCAUCCAGAGGCCACCUGAAAAUCUGCAGCGUUCACAUGACUGACUUCUCAUCCACAUUAGGUGAACGUGGAACAGUGGACUCGCUCAGUCGCUGUAUCCAGCAGAUCUCAGAAGAACGUCCUGCAGCUAAACAGAUAGAUGGAGGAAAUAUUCUUCUGCCAAGAAAAACAAAGCGGAACCUGGUUCACCUGUAGGCUCCAUGACCUACAAGUCAGGAUAUAAACCCAGGGGUCAUCAUGGAAGUAGUAAUAAUGGACUCUGGACCUUUAACGGUCACCAUAAAUCCAUAGAACCAUCAGCAUUUUACCAUCUUCAAAGCAGAAUCAAAGAUUCGGUCCAAACCAGAGACUUAGAUUCACACGCUCAUUUCCAGCAGGUUCUGGACUCAUCAAGGAGCUGCAAAGAACAGCUGUUCCUCCAGAACCUUCUGCUCGGGUUUGAACUAAAACCAGGAAGAACAAUGGUCCCGUUUUCAGGGCUUUGCUUUCUGUUGCUUAAAGAACAGACUUAAAAACAUCUCUCCAAGGUUUAGCAACAAGCAGGAACAUCUCUGACGGCGUGUUGGUCCCACAUGAACCAGCUGAGAUGCUCAAGAACAGACAUCUACUGGAGUCCACGGUCAGCCUUAAACACGGUGAAGUUUCAUGAAGAUAAAAUCUGAAACUGUUUCCUGAAGACUUUAAACCAACUUCGACUCUCACAAUGUUCACGUCCAGAACCAGAACUGUUGUGCGGUGAAGCUUAAGGUCUUUUCUUUGCUCUGUUGUCUUUACUGUGGUCUCAAAAUGAUUUGAGUUUAAAUGUUGGAUUUUACAGUUCUACUUGGGAUUUUUGUGCCUUUGUUGUUGUAAAUAACCUAAUGUAUGAGUUUACUGUACAAUAAACCCCACCGGCCUUUUAGA